UACAGAGGGUGCGAGCGUUAAUCGGAAUUACUGGGCGUAAAGCGUGCGUAGGUGGUGAGUUAAGUCUGUCGUGAAAGCCCCGGGCUCAACCUGGGAAUGGCGAUGGAUACUGGCUCGCUAGAGUGCGGUAGAGGAGAGUGGAAUUCCCGGUGUAGCGGUGAAAUGCGUAGAGAUCGGGAGGAACAUCAGUUGCGAAGGCGGCUCUCUGGACCAGCACUGACACUGAGGCACGAAAGCGUGGGGAGCAAACAGG
Molecule: ribosomal RNA, 253 nt
Filed under: uncultured bacterium
Lineage: Bacteria
Description: partial 16S ribosomal RNA
Rfam family: Bacterial small subunit ribosomal RNA
Source: RNAcentral